AGUGAACGCUGGCGGUAGGCCUAACACAUGCAAGUCGAACGGCAGCACAGUAAGAGCUUGCUCUUACGGGUGGCGAGUGGCGGACGGGUGAGGAAUACAUCGGAAUCUACUUUUUCGUGGGGGAUCACGUAGGGAAACUUACGCUAAUACCGCAUACGACCUACGGGGGAAAGCAGGGGAUCUUCGGACCUUGCGCGAUUGAAUGAGCCGAUGUCGGAUUAGCUAGUUGGCGGGGUAAAGGCCCACCAAGGCGACGAUCCGGAGCUCGUCUGAGAGGAUGAUCAGCCGCCCUGGGACUGAGACCGGGUCCAGGCUCAUUGGGGAGCGACCAGGGGGGAUUCUUGGGCCAUGGGCGCAAGCCUGUUCCAGCCGUGCCGCGUGGUUGAAGAGGGACUUCGGGUGGUAGAGCCCUUUUUUUGGGAAAGAAAACCAUCAGGUUAAUACCCCGCUGUGCUGGCGGUUCCCAAAGAAUAAACACCGGCUAACUUCGUG
RNAcentral lists this ribosomal RNA (492 nucleotides) under uncultured bacterium. Its description in RNAcentral is "partial 16S ribosomal RNA". It matches the Rfam family "Bacterial small subunit ribosomal RNA", at positions 29 to 507 of the family's 1533-position model. The record is from RNAcentral.